AAAGUACUCCCUCCGUCCCAAAAUUCUUGUCUUAGAUUUGUCUAGAUACGGAUGUAUCAAGUCACAUUUUAGUAUUAGAUACAUCCGUAUCUAGAUACAUCCGUAUCUAGACAAAUCUAAGACAAGAAAUCUGGGACAGAGGGAGUAGUUG
This is a non-coding RNA of Triticum aestivum (bread wheat), 151 nucleotides long. The record is from Rfam. NCBI's taxonomy places the organism in Eukaryota, Viridiplantae, Streptophyta, Magnoliopsida, Poales, Poaceae.